ACACACGCACCAGCACCCAAAAUACACACUCCCAUCUCACACACACCACAUCAGACGCACCCUCUCUCUCCAUCGCCUUCUGCCGCCGCUAGAUGGCGGCGCCGCCCGGCGUCCCCCUAUCUCCCCCAGUCGGAGCAUCGCCUUGCCGUCGCGGCACAACAGUAGCGUCGCUCAGCCAUCUUCUUUCUCGAUCGACGAACGGACGGCGCCAAUAGGCAACCGCCACCGCGAUUCAUCACCACAAUCACCGAUUCUCCCUAAACCGCCUCUUCCUCCCCUCUGAAUUUCGGCCAGCAGCUCGAAAUACCGCCGCCGCCGCCGACUCUAUCUCACCUCCCCUCCUUCUCUCCUUCUACCCGCGAUGACAGCCACGCUGGCGACAACAGCAGUAACCGUGCCGCCGCAGUGACCACAGCAGCACCGCUGCCUUCGCUCCCUCCCUGCCCUGACUCGCCACGACUCGACUCCCACAUCAACAACACAUAGCGAAAGGUUAAAGAAAAUACAUGUAAGGCUCAAUUAAUCCAUAGGCAUUCUGUAAAUAUGUUUUUCUUUUUCAUAUACAGUUUCUGUAACAGUCACAUAUACAUCAAAUAUACAAGAUACGAAUCAUCUUUUAGAUGUAUAGGAAUGUCCUGUUUGAUUGUAAACAAAGAAUGAUUAUGUUUUUAUGUUGUGGUGUAUGACAUGAGUGUUUGUUGAGAAGAAGUGUACUGGGGCGAACCUUGAUGAAGAGUUGUAUUCUGUUAUGAGGUAAAUCUGCAAUGGAAAGUUGUAUUGUAAUUAAAAAUUGUAGUGUAAGCUGGACUGGAGCAAUUUGGUUAUGGUUUUGCAGGGUUGCGUUUGAGCUGUUCUUAAAGAAGGUGCCUGCUAUUCUCAGCUGCGAUUGUGAGCUAAGGAAAAUUGGGGUUGGAUGAGGAGCUUUGAGCAGGUCUGGGGAGGAUUGUAUUGGAGAAAAGUGGAGAUGUGGAAGAACCCCUUCCACCGCUAAAUAUUUGUUUAAUAUCAUAAGCUACUGUAUCAACUUCACCUGCUUAAGUAUAACAAAUAAAAUGUAUAGAUCGAUUUUUUUUUUAAAUAAAAUUUACCUGAUUUGCAAGGUAAUUGGGCUUUUGGAAACAUUUCAAGAAUUCUUGCCCAAUAAAU
This 1146-nucleotide long non-coding RNA is filed under the name Salvia miltiorrhiza (redroot sage). RNAcentral describes it as "long non-coding RNA (SMIL_LNC007189)". Lineage: Eukaryota; Viridiplantae; Streptophyta; Magnoliopsida; Lamiales; Lamiaceae. The record is from RNAcentral.